GUCCACGCCGUAAACGAUGGAUACUAGCUGUUGGGAUUUAUCUCAGUGGCUAAGCGAAAGUGAUAAGUAUCCCACCUGGGGAGUACGUUCGCAAGAAUGAAACUCAAAGGAAUUGACGGGGGCCCCGCACAAGCGGUGGAGCAUGUGGUUUAAUUCGAUGAUACGCGAGGAACCUUACCAAGGCUUAAAUGUAGAUUGACAGGUUUGGAAACAGAUCUUUCUUCGGACAAUUUACAAGGUGCUGCAUGGUUGUCGU
This 256-nucleotide ribosomal RNA is filed under the name uncultured bacterium. RNAcentral's name for it is "partial 16S ribosomal RNA". It matches the Rfam family "Bacterial small subunit ribosomal RNA", at positions 793 to 1055 of the family's 1533-position model. The record is from RNAcentral.